Molecule: long non-coding RNA, 525 nt
Organism: Ictalurus punctatus (channel catfish)
Lineage: Eukaryota; Metazoa; Chordata; Actinopteri; Siluriformes; Ictaluridae
Source: Ensembl
GGUUUCUAGACUCUGUGUUUGGUUUCUAGACUCUGUGUUUGGUAGGCGUUGGGUUUCUAGACUCUGUGUUUGGUAGGCGUUGGGUUUCUAGAUUCUAGAUUCUAGACACGUUAAUUAAUGCAGUGUUUUUGAUUAUUAACCACAUGAACUUUUUUCAUUCUGACUCAGUCCUCAACCUUUAGACUUCCAUGGCUUUUAACAGUAGGACCUAGUGAGGUUGAGAACAGGACAGCACAGUUUUGUGUCUCUCUGUGUGUGUGUUUGCGUGUGUGUGUGUGUGUGUGUGUGUUUUCUAUAUCUGAUAUACCCUUUCUCAUAUUUUGCAUACUUUGCUGCGUCUUGUAGUUCAGAGCAGUGCGGAGGAAUUAUGGGGUUAAUGACGCAUUCAAAUUGACCAAAUGGGUAAGGUUGAGUGCUCCAGCAGUUGAAGUUGGGAAAACACUGCUGCUAGGAAACUGGGAAAUAUGGAGACCAAAAAAUAAGAUCCCAGAUAUUCAGAUAGUUAGGACAUAGCGAUUAAGUCUU